Hippocampus comes (tiger tail seahorse) is the source of this 512-nucleotide long non-coding RNA. RefSeq lists it as uncharacterized. The record is from RefSeq and is a predicted model, not a curated record. The transcript has 3 exons. NCBI's taxonomy places the organism in Eukaryota, Metazoa, Chordata, Actinopteri, Syngnathiformes, Syngnathidae.
GGCAAAGUAGCGGUACACCUGCCACGUCUUCCCGAAGUCCAUCGAACGCUCGAUCACCAUUGCGGCCGGCCGGAACGUCUGAAGGUGUCCCACGAUGCAGAAGGUUUCGCCUCCACGCAGGCCGCACGUGGACGAGGCGUUGAGCUUGUGGGCGCGUCCGAUCAGCAGAUCCCCCGUGGCCGGGUAGCAGCUGCCUUCCGUGCACACGUCCGCCAACUCGGGGAACUGCGUCCAGGCGGGAGACCACAGCACCGCUGAGCAGAAAGAGAGGACCACAUCAUCAUCACACACACGUCCAGCUCACUCGGUAUUAAACCUAAGCUCUCGGCUACUGUCAAGACAGGCAAAAAGUUUGUGCGUGUGUGAGAACAAGAAAUUCUGAGGUGUGGGAGUUUUCCUUGGAGUAGUCCGCAUCCCACUACCAAACAGCUCCUCCCAAAUGUCAGUGGUGCGCCUCCUGUUGGUCAAAAUGUGUUAAAAUUGGAAAAACUGUUACAGAUACUGUAUAUACA